UGGGGAAUUUUGGACAAUGGGGGAAACCCUGAUCCAGCCAUCCCGCGUGUGCGAUGAAGGCCUUCGGGUUGUAAAGCACUUUUGGCAGGAAAGAAACGUCAUGGGUUAAUACCCCGUGAAACUGACGGUACCUGCAGAAUAAGCACCGGCUAACUACGUGCCAGCAGCCGCGGGAAUAUGUAGGGUGCAAGCGUUAAUCGGAAUUACUGGGCGUAAAGCGUGCGGAGGCGGUUCGGAAAGAAAGAUGUGAAAUCCCAGAGCUCAACUUUGGAACUGCAUGUUUAACUCCCGGGCUAGAGUGUGUCAGAGGGAGGUGGAAUUCCGCGUGUAGCAGUGAAAUGCGUAGAUAUGCGGAGGAACACCGGUGGCGAAGGCAGCCUCCUGGGAUAAUACUGACGCUCAUGCACGAAAGCGUGGGGAGCAAACAGG
This 429-nucleotide ribosomal RNA is filed under the name Acidobacteriota bacterium. Its description in RNAcentral is "Acidobacteria bacterium partial 16S ribosomal RNA". It matches the Rfam family "Bacterial small subunit ribosomal RNA", at positions 355 to 776 of the family's 1533-position model. Lineage: Bacteria; Pseudomonadati; Acidobacteriota. The record is from RNAcentral.